Molecule: ribosomal RNA, 400 nt
Filed under: uncultured bacterium
Lineage: Bacteria
Description: bacterial SSU rRNA
Rfam family: Bacterial small subunit ribosomal RNA
Source: RNAcentral
GACGAACGCUGGCUGCGUGCUUAACACAUGCAAGUCGAACGCUGAAGCCCUGGUGCUUGCACCGGGGUGGAUGAGUGGCGAACGGGUGAGUAACACGUGAGUAACCUGCCCCCGACUUCGGGAUAAGCCCGGGAAACUGGGUCUAAUACCGGAUAUGACGACCGAAGGCAUCUUUGGUUGUGGAAAGUCUUUUCGGUUGGGGAUGGGCUCGCGGCCUAUCAGUUUGUUGGUGAGAUAAUGGCUCACCAAGACGACGACGGGUAGCCGGCCUGAGAGGGCGACCGGCCACACUGGGACUGAGACACGGCCCAGACUCCUGCGGGAGGCAGCAGUGGGGAAUAUUGCACAAUGGGGGUAACCCUGAUGCAGCGACGCAGCGUGCGGGAUGACGGCUUCGGGU